Molecule: ribosomal RNA, 935 nt
Filed under: uncultured soil bacterium
Lineage: Bacteria
Description: SSU rRNA
Rfam family: Bacterial small subunit ribosomal RNA
Source: RNAcentral
GUGCCGUAAGUCGUACUGUACAUCACUUUGCAACGUUUAGCGUAACCUAGAACUGCAUGCGAAAUCACGUCGACGUAUGCAGCAGGUCGUGAACUCCCGUGUAGCGUCGCAUGCGUAGAUAUCGGUACGGAACACCUCUAUCGAACGUGCUCACUGGACACAACUCACGGUAUGUCAUGCAAGCUACUGCAGCAAACAUGGAUUAGAUACCCUCGUAUUCCUAGCACUAAACGAUGUUGCUUGAUGUGUUUGCGUACCCAAUCCCGACGAUUCCGAAGCUAACCCGAUAAGCACACCGCCCUGUGAGUCACGUCCACCAGGGUAAACUCCCAUGCAAUUUACGGGGUCCGCCCAAGCUUUGGCACAUGACUUUCAAUUCGCCCUACGCGAAGAACCUUCCCUGGGCUCGAAGCGCAGGUACCGCGGGUAGAAUUUCCCUUUCUCGCGACAAGAAUGCUGCGGAGGGUUUUUUCUGGCCGGUCGUCAGCUUGUGUUGUGCGGUUGUUGAGGUAAGUCCGUCCCCAGAGCGCUCCCCUUACCCCUAGUUGCCAUCGGGUCAAGGUCUGGCCCUCUAGGGAAAACUUCCCCGGAUAACGGGGAGGAAGGUGGGGAUGCCGUCUAGUCCUCAUGGCCUGUAUGUCCAGGGUUACACACGUGCUACAAUUGUUGGUACAAACGGUCGCAAACCCGCGAGGGGGAGUUAUUAGGAAAAAGCCGACCUCAGUUCGGAUUGGAGUUUGCAACUGGACUCCAUGAAGCUGGAAUCGCUAGUAAUCGCAGAUCAGCACGCCACGGUGAAUACGUUCCCGGGCCUUGUACUCACCGCCCGUCACAUCGCGAAAGUGAGCUGUACUAGAAGUCGGUGAGCUAACCGCAAGGAGGCAGCCGCCCAAGGUACGGCCCAUGAUUGGGGCGAAGUCGUAACAAGGUAACCA